Molecule: RNA transcript, 5446 nt
Organism: Capsicum annuum
Lineage: Eukaryota; Viridiplantae; Streptophyta; Magnoliopsida; Solanales; Solanaceae
Exons: 5
Source: RefSeq, a predicted model, not a curated record
ACGAAUCAAAAGUACAGUGUCCAGUCCAAUUUAUACAGUCCAAAUAUAAAAAUGCGAAAAUAAAUCCUAUCUAACCUAUACUAAUUCUAACUAUUCUCCCGUGCUUUACCCGAUGCCUCAGGCCUUCACCACAAACAUUUUUCAAGUACAAGAUACCUCAAGGCAUUCCCCGGAUAAAUCAAUAAAAGUACUUCGGGGCAUUCCCCGGCCAAAUGAUACAAAGGAUCCCAACACAAUAUAGCUAAAAAAAACCAUUCAAUCACACAACUCAAAUAUUCCAUCAAUCCACAAUCCCUAAAUUUGCCUACCCGACCUAUGUUUGCCUAUCUGUUUCAACAAAAUUCAUGCUUAUUCAAAAUUAAAGCGCUAAUAAUGAAUCAAAACAAAUACGUAUUCACUUUUAUCAAUUAUUCAAUCCUCAAUCCCACCCCGAUCUAAUUUUAAACCGAAAUUCAAACAUGAUAAUUCACACCACUAGUUCCAACAAUCCACAACUAUCGUAAACUCAAUAUUCAUCAUUCACAUCACGCACAAGCAAUUAAUGAUAUUUAAUUCAACGCAUCAAACAUCACUAAUAAAUGAAAUAAAGAAUGAAAGGAGUAGAAUUGGACCUCAAGAGCGCAGAUUUUUCACUGGUAAUAAUGAAUUAAUGAAAGCCAAAGUCCGAAAUCCAAAAGCUCAAAUAGGAAACCUCAACACGAACUGACCGACCCCAAUCAAAGACAACGACUAACCCAAAAUCAAAUCGAGAAUCCACGACUGUCGUCACUCAAAACUCAAUCAGUGGGAAUAUUACCUUUUUCGACGUAUUUCUGCUGUCGAAACAGUGACAGCAGCACCGGUGAAGUUUGGUCAUAGGUUGUCGAACGAUUUCCGAUAGGUUGCAGCUGUGUGUGAUCGGUGAUGGGCGAAAGAAUAAUUUUUCGGUGGAAUUGGCCGGAAUCAGCCCAUAAUAGGUCGACUUCAGUUGUUUAGGGGCUGGUUUUGCCAAUUUCGGCGGCGGAUGAGCCCUUUCCGGCGAGCUUCAGGCGAAGACUCACCAGUCUCCGAUCUCUCUCUCUCGAUUUUUCACUCUCUUCUCACCCUCUCUCCAUUCCUCUCCGAUAUCUUUGCUACUCAAUGUCUUCUCCGAUUUUCUAAGAUUUUCCUGCGUGUGUAAAGGUGAGUGUGAAUUUGGUGGAUUAGUGCAUAGAUAUAUUGACUGUGUGUUUACGGUGUGUUCUUAAGUGAUUUUCAAAGAUGGAGAGUGUGUGCCAUCUUCAAUGGAGUGUAUGUAUGCUGUGCGUUUGUUGUGUAUAAUCAAUGGAGAAACUGUGGAUCUUGGGUAUGAAUUGUGAAGGGACUCUGUGUUGUUACCUUUGAUAUGGUCUGCUAAUGGAGAGGGGCGUGAGGAUUGUGUGUGGGUGUCUUGGUGAAGAAGAAGGAAAAGGAAAAUGGAGUAUGUGUAUUGUGAUGAUGAGAAAAACGUGACCCCCCUGUAAAUGUCACUGUGUAUAUGGAUUUGUAUAUGAAUCACCUAGGUUCCCCUUGAAUAUUCCUCCUUGUGUUUGGUUUAUCCCAUCCAGAAAAGAAAACACGUGAAGGGGAGGGGUACGUGGGUAUAGGGGUGUGGGGUGGUGAGGUAGGGGUAUGGGUAGGGCAGGUGUUCUAAUUUGAUUGGGUAGGUUGUUAGGAUUAGAUAAAUUUUGUUAGGGUAAGGGUUGUAUUAUUUUUUUUGUCAUUUUUUGAAGGGAUAAUUAAAUAGGGUAGGGUAUGUGGUAAGACGAGAAUAAAUAAAUAAAUAGAUAGGUAAAAUUGAUGUUCGGGAGUGACAAAAUUAGGUGUGUACACUUAUCUCUUGAGUUAUGUUUAGGAUUGAAUACAAUCAAAAUUGUUAGUACUGAAUUGGAGAGUCUGACCUUAAUUGGCAUGGCUAGUUUCGAUGAUGUAUGCAUUCAUACUCCCAAUUUACAUUCAUUCAGGCUAAUAAAUAGAUCCCUUAAAAUUUCAAAAUUCACUAUCCAUGGUGGAUUCGGGGCUAAUUGAUGUUGAGAUUGGAUUGAAGUAUUCUCCUGCAUCAACCAAUAGAUUGCUCGAGAUUAGAACUUUCGCCGGAAAAUUAGGUGAAAAUGUCACAUUGUCCUUGGAAACCGACACAACUGAAGCAAUGGUAUGUACAUUGUGAGCUAAAUUAUGUUGCUUUUUUGCUUUAGAGUAAUUCGAUUGUGUCUCAAUAAGUGUGCUUCUAGUUAGUACAUCCAUCUUUAGUAUUUCCAACAAUUACCAAAUUUUUUUGUCUAUGAAGGAAGUAAUACUUCAUCCGGGAAACCUUCAAAGCAAUUUUCAAUCACUUCGUAUCAACUAUAAAGCACAUAAAUUUGGUAGUACACUCUUCAUCAGAACCAAGUUAUGAAUCGUUUCUUGCUGAAUUGUUUGGUUACUUCCAUCCGAGGACCUUGCUGGUGACAGUGAAUUCAGAUGCCCUAAAACAUAACUUAAUACAACAGAAUUUGUAGGUCCUAUUGAAAGAGCUGGAAGGUUGGAACAGAGAGUGUACCAAACGUUAUAAAUGUAGUAAUUACAUGUCUUGCCGCAAUUUCUUGAAAGAUCUUUAGGAUCCUUGAAACACCUACAUUUGAAAGACAAGAAAGGACAGCCUGGUGCAAUAGUCCCCUGCUCCGGCAAAAGGCCGGACCACAAGGGUCACAUAGCCUUACCCAACUUUUCUACAAUUACAAGACAAGGCGCUCAUGUUUGCUUCGAUUUCCAAUGUCUCUUUAGCAGCAAGGAUGGUAGCCUGGGUUACUUCAGGAGCAGGCACAGUGUCGACAGGAGCAGCACCCGUUGAGAGACCUUAGGCGAUUGCAACAGGCUCUCCGAGCACAUUAAAAAUUCGUCCCAGAGUCGCUCCCCCGACCGGAACACUUAUAGGAGCUCCUGUGUCAAUCACUUCCAUUCCUCUCGUUAAACCGUCUGUAGCACUCAUAGCUGCAGCCCAUAUAGUCAGGCAGAAGCAAGGCGCCGGCGCAAUAUGUGAAUGCCAUUUUGUUAAGAUUUUGUAAGAAAGUUUUGCUUUUAUAUAUAAUUAUAUACAUUAAUAAGAUAAAACUUUAGUAAAAAAAAAAACCUCGUACGAACCUAAAAGAAUAAUACAAUCAAUUGAAACUUUCCUAGUGUAAACUGAAAGUUAUUGGAAUAUAAUAUUUCUAACAAAGUUGAUAGUUAGUUUUUGUAGUUAAUUAGGAUGUGGAGAAUUAUAAAUUCUGUGAGAUUCUUCAACUUCUAGGUGAUUUGUAGAGGAAGAAUUGGUGAAAGUUGUCGACUUCUUUGAUGUUACUGUGAAAUUAAGUUUGAAACUCAAGAUAAGUUUUCACUAUCAUUUUUUUGUUGUUUGAAUCGUCUUUCGAGGUAGUUAUCAGAGUCCCUUUGACUGGGAGCUACUUUUUGCCCUUUUGACUGGGAUCUACUGCUGUCGGAACAGUCUUUUGAUUUGUAGAUGGUUCAGGCAUUGGCAGUCUCUCGAAUUCAAUAGGUUUAGGGACCUCAUCAUCAUCCACCCCUCUCAUCAUUGCUUCUGUCUCUCAUGAAGUUACGUCUGUUGCAGAAAUAACCUCACAAACUUCAGUUGGAGUUUUGUACGUUGAGACGGCAAUGUCAAUAUCAGAUGCUACAGACAGAAAAAUGCACAACAGAUAGAAAGCCAUUUGAUUGUCCAAACUGAAAAUAGAAGACAUCCCUCAAAGCCCCAUUAUUGCAAAACAAGUUGAUUCCUACGUUUUUUAAUUCCCACAACCUCUUAGCUACUCAGACAAACAGGUAGAUAGACUGUACAAGAUUGACUUGGGGGAAUCAUAUAGUCCACUUCAUUUACACCACAAGGAUAUGAAAAAAAACCUAGACCAAAGGAUGAUGACUUAUUAAAAGAGGUUUGUUCGGUUUCUAUUAUCAUUAUGUAGAUGUGUAUUGUUGUUUUAAUAGCAUUAGACGACAUAUCUCUGAAUUUUUGUUUUGUUUUUCUAAAGACAAUCAGUUUUAUCAAAUAUAAUUCUUUUGGGUGUUUCUGGUGUAGCAAUGUAAACUGGUAAGUUUCUGUCGAAUUAUAUUUUACAAUAUAGUAUUUGCAUAUCUUAUUGUAACUUAUUUAAGAUUGAUCUACUGUGAGUCUGAAUUCUGUAAUGUUUUGGAUUUCUUUUUCCUUGAAUUGAAAGUUUAUCAGAAAUACUCUCUCUACCUUCCAAGAUAGAGGUAAGGUCUGCUUACACUCUAUUCUCUCAGACACCACUUUGUUGGACUGUACUGUCUAUUUUGCUAUGUCUUUUUGUGCUUUCCUUUUUAAUAAUUGUACUUCUCGUAAAUGCUCUAAAAAAACUCAAGGAAUACAGAAACAAGGGAAAUCAAUCUUUUCUCUUUUUUUGAUAUGUCUCAGAAGCAGCAAACCAAGUAAGAUGCAGUAACUUUUACCCCUCUUGAUAGGCUCCAAACCAAUUAUCAAGCAAAGAAUACUUUUUGCUUCACAUGUAGUCAAAUUUGAUUGACAUUAAAUGCUUAGAAUACCUCAAGCAUAGCAAGAGAAUAUUGUGGGUAGCUUAUAACAUUCCAUGUAAGAUGCAACAGUAAUUCAUUCAACGAACAAAUUGGAUGGACAAUAUGUCAUGUUGUAACAGUUAGUUUGAACGAUAUUCAGAGUUCCAUAGUUGUACUGUUUUAGAUUCAUUAACAAUUCUAUUUACACAAUGAGACAUACUAUGCAAGUAAUAUACAUAGAUAGCAUGGCAGUGGAUUUUAUUUACAAGUAUGCAAUCACCCAUAAAAGGCAAGUUCCUUUUUUUUUUUAAUUUUGGGGUCAUCUUUCUCGAGGUAGUGGUAAGGUCCGUGUACACUUAAUCCUCCCCAAAUCUCACGUAUGGAAUUCUAGUCGGUAUGUUGUUGUUGUAUCUUCACACUGAUUUCUAAACUAACUGCUGUUGAAUUUUAUAUUUUGGCACAUUUGCUUCUUCCGUUAACUGUUUUUGUACAUGCAUGUGAGAAUUUGUGACCACAGGUAUUAACUUCAAGUUAUCUAAUUACUGCACGUUUUUAAGGUUCAUGGAUAUACAUAUUUUCUUUCUUUAUUUUGUUUUCCUCUGUAUUUUAUGAACUAAUAAUAGUUUGAUAAAAUUAUCAGCCCCAACAAGGACUAUGGAACCAGUGUUGGGCUUUAAGAAGUGAAAGAGAUGUUGAAACUCUUCUCGAGACAUAUCUUUGCAUCAAUAUCUGUGAAUAUGUCUUGUAGCAUCCUUACAAAAUAUGUUAGUUUUGAAUAUUCCUUUCUUACCUGGUCUAUGUUGGUAGAUUAGCUUUGAUUUGACAAUGAUAGCCAAAUAUACAUUUGUAAGCAAGAUACACCCAAUGUAAUAGUUAUGUCACUCUAUACAAUUUAUUAUGCCAUCUUUUUCAUGUGGAGGUCUGUUCUCUGAACCUCUUCUUA